CACGUAGGGGACGAGCGUUGUCCGGAAUCAUUGGGCGUAAAGCGCGCGUAGGCGGCCCGGAAAGUCGGAUGUGAAAUCGCUCGGCUCAACUGGGCGGGGUCAGCGGAUACGGUGUAGCUGGAGCAAGCUAGGGGGCAAUGGAAUUCCCGGUGUAGUGGUGGAAUGCGUAGAUAUCGGGAGGAACACCAGUGGCGAAGGCGGUUGCCUGGAGCUUUGCUGACGCUGAGGCGCGAAAGCGUGGGGAGCGAUCCGG
Molecule: ribosomal RNA, 253 nt
Filed under: uncultured bacterium
Lineage: Bacteria
Description: partial 16S ribosomal RNA
Rfam family: Bacterial small subunit ribosomal RNA
Source: RNAcentral